Molecule: ribosomal RNA, 260 nt
Filed under: uncultured archaeon
Lineage: Archaea
Description: partial 16S ribosomal RNA
Rfam family: Archaeal small subunit ribosomal RNA
Source: RNAcentral
CAGCCGUAAACUAUGCGCGUUAGGUGUAUCGGUGACCACGAGUUACCGAGGUGCCGAAGGGAAACCGUGAAACGUGCCGCCUGGGAAGUACGGUCGCAAGGCUGAAACUUAAAGGAAUUGGCGGGGGAGCACCACAACAGGUGGAGCCUGCGGUUUAAUUGGAUUCAACACCGUAAACUCACCAGGGAAGACUGUUACAUGAAGGCCGAGAUGAAGACUCUGCUAGAUUUUCAGAGAGGAGGUGCAUGGCGUCAGUGACU